CGGGGUGUGGCGCAGUGGAAGCGCGCUCGGUUCGGGACCGAGAGGUCGUGGGUUCGAUCCCCACCACCCCGA
Molecule: transfer RNA, 72 nt
Filed under: Deltaproteobacteria bacterium
Lineage: Bacteria; Pseudomonadati; Myxococcota; Myxococcia
Description: tRNA-Pro
Rfam family: tRNA
About the family: Transfer RNA (tRNA) molecules are approximately 80 nucleotides in length. Their secondary structure includes four short double-helical elements and three loops (D, anti-codon, and T loops).
Source: RNAcentral